GUGACAGAUGUCUGCUGCCUCUUAUCUCAAAUAGUUUUGAAAAUCUCCUUUGGCCAGGAGCCCAAGUGUGAAGGAGCAAUUCUGUUUUAGACCAAACUUGUAAAGAAUCUGGAAAGGACGCUCAAUUGUCUGGGAGAAACAGAGAGAGCUGACAUCACCCCCUGGUCCCCCUGGAAUGCAGUGAUAAGUGUCAGCCUAUUUUUCUUACAGGCAAUUUCUCUGGCUAUGUGAUGUCUGGCUGCAAAUUUAAACCAUUUAAAGUUUCUCUGAAAUAGAAAUGCAGAUGGGAAACCAAGCAGCUGGGGCUUACUGAGGAGUCAGGGAGUCUGUUGCAGCAGAGCCCUGCAAAGCUGGCAGCUGCCAGAAGGAUUUGUUCCAUCCCUGAAUACCUGCGCCGCUGCUUCCCCCCGUGCUGCUGUCAGCAGAGGAACAAACAGGUUCACACCUGCUGCAUAGCUGGCCUUGGAGGAAUGCAUGUGCAAAUUUGGCAGGUUAAAUGCUUGAAGGAAUUGCAGAGUCAGGCUCCUGGAAAAUGAGGGCACACACCAAAAAAUCAGCACCUCAGCACAGGAGCAGGUGAGAA
Molecule: long non-coding RNA, 583 nt
Filed under: Junco hyemalis (dark-eyed junco)
Lineage: Eukaryota; Metazoa; Chordata; Aves; Passeriformes; Passerellidae
Description: lncRNA (ENSJHYG00000009419.1)
Source: RNAcentral